Molecule: ribosomal RNA, 280 nt
Filed under: Panstrongylus herreri
Lineage: Eukaryota; Metazoa; Arthropoda; Insecta; Hemiptera; Reduviidae
Description: partial 16S ribosomal RNA
Source: RNAcentral
GUUUUAAUUUGGGAAUUUAAUUUUUGAGUUAAAAAGCUUAAAUAUAUUUGUUGGACGAGAAGACCCUAUAGAUCUUUAUAAUUUCAUAUUUCGGUAAUUUAGGGAUUUAUUUACUUGGAGUGGCAGAAUUAUUUGGUUGGGGUGACUGUAGAAUUGAAACAACUUCUAUUUAUUUAUUUCAUUUAUUAGUGUUUUUUUGAUCCAUAUGUUAUGAUUAUAAGAUUAAGUUACCUUAGGGAUAACAGCGUAAUUUCCUCGGAGAGUUCAUAUUGAUGGGGGA